UUUACCUGACUCGAUGCCCUUUCCUAAGCAAACUUCCUUUGCAGAACAGGUUUGGGGCCAUUGAUGGUUUUAGGAAUUGCCAAUAUCCUCUGCUAAUGCCAUCAGCACCUCACAGCUCCUCGGAGAGCAGCUCCAGGAGAAGGGCCUGAGCUCAGCAGGGUGAACUGGUGAUCUGUGCCCUACUUAGCUGGUGUAUAUAUUUGUCAGUAAGUGGGGCACUCAAUAACCUCGGAUCUGACAGCCUUCAGAUCCUGUAUGGAGAAAUGUCAAUCAUUCUGGCUUACAUUAAACAUCUUCCCAGGCAUCUGGAUUAUAUUAUAAUAUCCUAUCAGUGCCAAAUUAUAAACAUGAACCACACAUGCUAAUCUCUUGAUUCUCGCUUAUUUCCCUUUCAGACAGUCCAUGGAAGAAGAAAAAAAAUGUAUUUUGUCAGCAAAAUAAAAUUAUAAACCACGUGUGAGGGAGGGUGGAGCCAUCACCCGGUGCCUCUCCUGAGCCAACUAUGGAUUUUUGCAAUAAAUUUACUCUGCUCCAAGGCCAGGAGCCCAGGCCAGCACGGGGGUGUGAACAUCCUUGGAGGUACCCACAGCUCCAGCUCUUCUCAGGUAGGACAGAAAAAAAAGAGGAAUCUUCUUGCACACCCUAAGGACACAGAGCUGGAAGAGCUUGGCAGCACUUUCUGAGAGGUGCAGAACCUUCCUUGGGAGCCUUCUCCGAGGAGCUGCUCCUGUCCCAUGGAGCAGCAGAAACUGCCCACUGUAGAUCUCAGACCAAGUGGGAUCCAACAGGAGGAGGUGGACAGGCCCUUCCCAAGGAGAAUGUUAGAAAUCCAUAGGUUUGAAGCCUGCCAUAUCCCUUUUGCCACAAUGACCUUCAGAUGACCUUGCUUCCCAGUGUGAGAGGAGCAGCAGAAGUGGUUUCAGUCCACUGCUACUGGAAUGGACUGGGCAGUUUGCCAAGUGAAUAUCUGCUGGGUUAAUCACUGUGCAAAUCUAAUCAGGAACUGGAAUGUGCCAGGCUCAUUACCGAAAUUAAAUUCACCUCCAAUUAAAGAGAGAGCUACAAGCUUCCAUCGUGCAGAGGUGCCCCCGGGCUGCCGCUCCCAAAACCAACAUCAAAUCCAGUCCUGCUGAACUGCAGGUUUGCUGAGCUCUGGAGGUAUUUCCAGGUGUGAGAAAGUGAACUGCUGCUUGUGAUUUCCCCCAAGGCUCUCUAAGGAGUUUACUGAUGCCUUUAAUAAGUCACCUUGCAAGUCAGGAGUCACUUCAAUGGUAGCAUUUCCAAGGAGCACUCGCCAAGAGAAAUCUGGGGACACAGUAACUGGAACACCUCCCAUGGCAGGAUUGUUCUUGUGAGCACCUUUACAAAUUCUCACCUUCACAUGCUGCAUCUUUCCUUGAGACCUACGCACCUUAUGUCUACACUGUGGAGCCCAAAUUAAGACAUUAGGUUUGUGCUGAGAACAAGACUGCAGAGUCAAGCAGGCAAAGUGUAGAGAUGCUGACUGAAAAGUUGUUCAAGCUUCAUUUGCCUCUUUGGCUUCUACAUUACACUUGCACAGCCUAAUCUCAUCAUCACUGCACAUCACAUCAUCUCUGCCUCCAUCUGUGAUUCACCUGGGCAUUAUCUGAUUGCAGGGAAAAACUUUUAAUAUCUUAGGUCUAAAUAUGUGCCUGUAACUGAAAUCCAGCUCUGAAGACUUGGCAGGACUGCAGAUGUAAUUCCUGACCUUCUCCUUUUCUCCUCCAGUACUAGAAUAAAAAACAAUCCACUAAGAUUAGGGAUUGGCUUCCACCUGGAGAUGGCAAACAUGGGUGCAAAACUUGAAGGUUUCCUGUACACAUGUCCUUGGUCCACUCACACCUUCCACUGCCUACUCUAAAAACCACAAGUAUAUCCAAAAAUAUAUCUGGAGUCUGAAAUCCUCCAUCCUCAUGCCCAGAAA
Passer domesticus (house sparrow) is the source of this 1945-nucleotide long non-coding RNA. RefSeq lists it as uncharacterized. The record is from RefSeq and is a predicted model, not a curated record. NCBI's taxonomy places the organism in Eukaryota, Metazoa, Chordata, Aves, Passeriformes, Passeridae. The transcript has 2 exons.